Molecule: ribosomal RNA, 454 nt
Filed under: uncultured bacterium
Lineage: Bacteria
Description: partial 16S ribosomal RNA
Rfam family: Bacterial small subunit ribosomal RNA
Source: RNAcentral
GAUGAACGCUGACAGAAUGCUUAACACAUGCAAGUCAACUUGAACUUCGGUUUGGGUGGCGGUCGGGUGAGUAACGCGUACGGAACUUGCCCCCCAGCUAGGGACAACAUUUGGAAACGAAUGCUAAUACCUGAUAUUAUGUUUUUAGGGCAUCCUAGAAUUAUGAAAGCUAUAGGCGCUGUGAGAGAGCUUUGCGUCCCCUUAGCUAGUUGGAGAGGUAACGGCUCACCAAGGCGAUGAUGGGUAGCCGGCCUGGAAGGGUGAACCGCCACACGGGGACGGGGGCGCGGCCCUUACUCCAUCGGGAGGCAGGGGUGAGAAAUUUUGGAAGAUGGGCCAAGAGUGUGAUCCAGCUAUUCUGAGUGCAAAAUGAAGUUUUUCGGAAUGUAAAAAGGUUUCAGUAAGGAAGAAAAAAAUGACGGUACCAACAGAGAAAGUGACGGCUAAAUACGUG